This 110-nucleotide small RNA is filed under the name [Enterobacter] lignolyticus SCF1. Its description in RNAcentral is "Enterobacter cloacae SCF1 ArcZ RNA". It matches the Rfam family "ArcZ RNA". Rfam says of the family: This RNA was discovered in E. coli during a large scale screen. SraH expression is highly abundant in stationary phase, but low levels could be detected in exponentially growing cells as well. Lineage: Bacteria; Pseudomonadati; Pseudomonadota; Gammaproteobacteria; Enterobacterales; Enterobacteriaceae. The record is from Rfam by way of RNAcentral.
GUGCGGCCUUAUUUUCAGGGUUGCGUCCUUGCCAAAAACUAUUCUAACGAUUCCGGCGCAGCCACGAUUUCCCUGGUGUUGGCGCAGUAUUCGCGCACCCCGGUUCAUCC